This 462-nucleotide ribosomal RNA is filed under the name uncultured bacterium. RNAcentral's name for it is "bacterial SSU rRNA". It matches the Rfam family "Bacterial small subunit ribosomal RNA", at positions 36 to 518 of the family's 1533-position model. The record is from RNAcentral.
CUGGCGGCGUGCUUCAUACAUGCAAGUCGAACGAGAAGUCACCUUCGGGUGAUGGAAAGUGGCGGACGGGUGAGUAAUGUGUAGAGAAUCUGCCCUUUAGUGGGGGACAACAGUUGGAAACGACUGCUAAUACCCCAGAUGCGCGUAGCUGAGAUGCUAUUCGUGAAAACUCCGGUGCUAAAGGAUGAGUCUGCAUCUGAUUAGCUAGUUGGCGGUGUAAUGGACCACCAAGGCGACGAUCAGUAGCUGGUUUGAGAGGAUGAUCAGCCACAAUGGGACUGAGACACGGCCCAUACUCCUACGGGAGGCAGCAGUAGGGAAUUUUGCGCAAUGGGGGAAACCCUGAACGCAGCAACGCCGCGUGAUUGAAUAAGCCCUUCGGGGUGUAAAGAUCUGUCAGUAGGGACGAAACUUGACGGUACCUACAGAGGAAGCAUCGGCUAACUCCGUGCCAGCCGCGGC